Molecule: long non-coding RNA, 273 nt
Organism: Oryzias latipes (Japanese medaka)
Lineage: Eukaryota; Metazoa; Chordata; Actinopteri; Beloniformes; Adrianichthyidae
Source: RefSeq, a predicted model, not a curated record
GAAUUAUUCAAAGAUGGCGGACGGUUGCGCUAGAAAGAGGACUUAAAAAUAGUCCUGUGUGUCACAGUUGGAGCUGAAAGGAAAGCGGAGAUCUGUCCUCGCAGACGGACGCCACUUUACCCGUCCUACUGGUUCCUGGUGUGGCUCAACAUCUGUUGCUCCCAGCAGUCCCCUUCUCUGAUGCACAGAUUGUGCAGAACUGAACUGCAGGCAAUGAUUUUCAUUGCAAAGAGCAUGCCUUGGCGUGGUGCUGGUUGUAACGGGCCUGAACCG